UAAAUCUGAAAGCAAAAAAUCGAUUGAACCCAACAAAAAUCGGAUAAGCACCAAUAUAACUCAGCAACAACAAAUAACAGCAAAAUGAAUGACGAGCUCGAUCAAACUAACAACAAGCAUCGAUCAAAAUCAACAAGAAAGCCCGAUUUACUGUUCUCUGGUUUCUUUCAAGGAAAGCCUUAAUUUUCUUUUGUGUUUGUCUUUUCAGAAAGGAGAUGAGGGUGGCUAGCUUUUACUGAGGAAGCUCAUUUUUCUUGUGAAUAAAAAAAACAAUCGAAGACGAAAGAUUGAAGCGUGCCGUUUUCUCAUUUCAGGGGUCUAAUUAUUCGAUGGACUUUUUUUUUAUCUUGGGAAAAAUGGAAUCCAUCGAAACAUGGUCCACCAAAGAUAUAAAGUUUCAGCUUCUUCAAAUUGCUACCAACGAAAAGGAACUCAACUGAAUUCCAUUGUGAGCCGUUUUUCAUUUUUUGCGAACAAAGAAAGGGGUCGCAAAUGUAU
RNAcentral lists this long non-coding RNA (498 nucleotides) under Nicotiana benthamiana. RNAcentral describes it as "long non-coding RNA (NBEN_LNC007818)". The record is from RNAcentral. Lineage: Eukaryota; Viridiplantae; Streptophyta; Magnoliopsida; Solanales; Solanaceae.